UACAUAGGGACCAAGCGUUGUUCGGAUUUACUGGGCGUAAAGGGCGCGUAGGCGGCUUAACAAGUCACUUGUGAAAUCUCCGGGCUUAACUCGGAACGGCCAAGUGAAACUGUCAAGCUAGAGUGCAGAAGGGGCAAUCGGAAUUCUUGGUGUAGCGGUGAAAUGCGUAGAUAUCAAGAGGAACACCUGAGGUGAAGACGGGUUGCUGGGCUGACACUGACGCUGAGGCGCGAAAGCCAGGGGAGCAAACGGG
RNAcentral lists this ribosomal RNA (253 nucleotides) under uncultured bacterium. RNAcentral describes it as "partial 16S ribosomal RNA". It matches the Rfam family "Bacterial small subunit ribosomal RNA", at positions 524 to 776 of the family's 1533-position model. The record is from RNAcentral.